Molecule: transfer RNA, 63 nt
Filed under: Opistholeptus burmanus
Lineage: Eukaryota; Metazoa; Arthropoda; Insecta; Hemiptera; Pachygronthidae
Description: tRNA-Asp
Rfam family: tRNA
About the family: Transfer RNA (tRNA) molecules are approximately 80 nucleotides in length.
Source: RNAcentral
AAGAAAUUAGUUUAAUUUAAAACAUUAACUUGUCAAGUUAAAGAUAUUUAUUAAUAUUUCUUA